This 549-nucleotide unclassified non-coding RNA is filed under the name Amphinema sp. SB7. Its description in RNAcentral is "sequence contains 18S rRNA gene, ITS1, 5.8S rRNA gene, ITS2 and 28S rRNA gene". The stretch from base 155 to 287 matches the Rfam family "5.8S ribosomal RNA". Lineage: Eukaryota; Fungi; Basidiomycota; Agaricomycetes; Atheliales; Atheliaceae. The record is from RNAcentral.
UUAUAGAUCAGACCUAGGGUUGUAGCUGGUCCCUCGGGGGGUGGGAACGGAGAUUCUAAUUCCGGAAAUCUGUGAAUUACGUGAUGCUUUAAAGAGGAGCCAUAUAUAUGUGCUGUCUAAAAGUCAAUUGUUUGCCUUGAAAACAUAUCAAUAUGAUUUUUGAAUGGAUCUCUUGGGUCUUCCACCUAUGAAUGACAAAGCGAAAUGCGAUAAUUAAUGUGAAUUAUAAAUUUUUGAUGAAUCGUCGAAUCUUUGAAUAUGGUUGUGGGUUUGGUAUCUGAGGGGCAGCCUGUUAGAUUGGCAUUUGAAGUCAAUUCGUUGAUUUUUGAUGGGAAAGAGGUCUGGAUUCUGGAACAGGCUGGCCCAAUUGAGGGCCGCUCCCCUUUAAAUGCCCCAGCGGAAAUCCCGGGGGGGGGGGCCAACCGACAGAUAAUCCGGGUGCUCCCCCCGGGCUGGUUGGGGCUCGCCCAUAAUCCUCUUCGAUACGAUCCUUUUGACCCCAAUCAGGAAGACUACCCCCGAAUUAAUUCUUCAAAAGGCGAAGAAAAA